RNAcentral lists this non-coding RNA (295 nucleotides) under Ricinus communis (castor bean). Its description in RNAcentral is "Eukaryotic large subunit ribosomal RNA". It matches the Rfam family "Eukaryotic large subunit ribosomal RNA", at positions 3103 to 3401 of the family's 3401-position model. The record is from Rfam by way of RNAcentral. Lineage: Eukaryota; Viridiplantae; Streptophyta; Magnoliopsida; Malpighiales; Euphorbiaceae.
CGUGCGCUGGAUUAUGACUGAACGCCUCUAAGUCAGAAUCCGGGCCAGAAGCGACGCGUGUCCGCCGCUCGUUUGCCGACCAGCAGUAGGGGCCCUCCGGCCCCCAAAGGCACGUGUCGUUGGCUAAGCCCUCGCGGCGGACGAGCCGCGCGGGCCGCCUUGAAUUACAAUUUCCACCGGGCGGCGGACUGAAUCCUUUGCAGACGACUUAAAUACGCGACGGGGUAUUGUAAGUGGCAGAGUGGCCUUGCUGCCACGAUCCACUGAGAUUCAGCCCUUCGUCGCUCCGAUUCGU